Musa acuminata AAA Group (dessert banana) is the source of this 4494-nucleotide RNA transcript. It is a transcript of the gene named translocase of chloroplast 101, chloroplastic, with no coding region annotated. The record is from RefSeq and is a predicted model, not a curated record. The transcript is spliced from 3 exons. Lineage: Eukaryota; Viridiplantae; Streptophyta; Magnoliopsida; Zingiberales; Musaceae.
AUCCAUCCAUCCAUCCAUUUGAUAGCGCUCGUCAUAUAGAUUGUGGAACCCUUUCCACCCAAAACCCCCCUCUCUUGCCUUCCUUUCCUCUUCUCCCACUCGUCGAGUCGCUCUCCUCCUUGUCGAUGGCGUCCGAGGCGAGCGGCGAGCCAUUCUUGGCCGAAGCAAAGGGAGCCCCGAUGAGGAGCGAGCCCGACGAAGACGCAGGAGGGGACGGGGCUCCCCGUGCCGCGGUGGAGCCGGAAAAGGAGAGCAGCGAUGCCUCGCCCCCCGCCUCGGCCGCGGCCGGAGACACCUUGACGACCACCUCCUCGAUUCCUGUAGCACAGGACACUCCGGACGACGACCCCGACGAGGAGGCGUUCCAGGAGGCGCUGGAAGAUGGGGACGACGAUGGCGUUGAUGGGUUGUCAGAUGCCGCCAAAUCUUCAGGCUCGACGGAUGAUGUUGAACUCAUGGAAGGAGAGGAAAAAGGUGAGCCCCCGUCGGAGACUCAGGUUUUUGCCACCGUCCAAGACAACUCCCAACAUGAGAUCGUGGAAAUGGUGUCAAGUGAAAACCCUAGGACAGAGGAGACUUCACAUGGUGAGGUUUUGGCGGCUGUGGUGAAAGAGUCGGUGGAGAAUUCCACUUCGCAAAGCACCGAAACGAAGCCAAUCGAGGAUGGUGCUGCCGUGGCUGGAGGUGUGGAUGGCGACGAGGAGGUCGGACUCCACGAUGCCCGAGAGGGGAGUGAUGAGGACUUGGUCGAGGAAUCGGGAGAGUCUGCUGUCCCUACUAUUGAUGCUGUUGAGGAAGAGAGACAUGGAGCCGAACCUGAUGUUGUGGAUGAGGUGAAAAUUGGUGUUGCUUUAGCCACAGUUUCCGAUCAAAAUGUCUACCCUGCUUGUAUACCUGCCACAGAGGAGAUGGAGACAGUAGAGAAUCCCACUUUGCGCAUCGAAUCAAACCCAGUCGAGGAUGAGACUUCUGCAGCUGGAAAUGUGGAUAGGAAUGUGGAACAAGCAGAGCCUGAUGAUCAGGGAAAAGAUGGAAGCUUGGUUGAUAAUUUGGGAGAACCUGCUACGCCUGUUGUCAAUGUGUUACUGGAGUCAAAGACAGCAAAAGACGAAUUUGAUACUUCUGAAGAAGGGACAGGCGGAGGCAAAGCUGAUACGGACGAGUUUGGAUCUGUCUUAAGUAAUUCUUCUAUCCAGGAGACAGUGGAUGAGACGCUAACAAAAAAAUCAGAUCAAGCUGCAAAUGAAUCUGAGGCAAACAAUGAUGAGCCUGUGCCUGAGUUGGUUCCAGAAGGGGAAAAUUCAAUAUCAGUUCAAGAUAGGCAAUCUCCAUCUAUCACUGCUGGGGAAUCAAGAAACAGGGUGACCGAAAGAGAUGAGUUUGGGGCUUCUGGUGCCAAUGAAGAUGGAACUGCUCGAUUACCAACUUCAGUGACAGAACCAGAACCAACACCGUGUGAAGAUUUGACCGAUCAUGUGCAAGACCUUGACCAGGAGAAGGCAGAGGAUGAAGACGAAAACUUAGUUUCUGAUGGACCACCUAGGGUGGCAAUAUUGGCGAGCUCAGAAACUGCAAAACAGCUGAUAAAUGAAUUAGAAGAUGGCUCUUCUAGUGUCACCCCUCAUUCAGCAUUAGAUGGCUCAAAGGAUGUAGAUGGCCAGAUUAUUUUGGAUUCAGAUGAAGAGUUAAUGACUGACGAGGAGGACGGAGGAAAUGAAAUGAUUGAUUCUGACGCAUUGGUUGCACUUCUGAAAGCGGCAAGCAGUUCCACUGCUGAUGGAGGUAUCAGUGUCACUUCUCAAGAUGCUAAUAGAAUCUUCUUGGUCGACCGUCCAGCUGGUUUGGGGUCCUCAAUUCCAUCUCUGAAACCUGCUCCUCGUCCUGCAAGAUCAAACCUUCUUAGUCCUUCUGAACUGGCUGUAGCAGCAGAGCCUGAUAAUCAGAUGACUGAGGAACAAAAAAAGUUGCAUGAGAAAGUUGAGCUUAUUAGGGUGAAGUUUCUACGUCUUGUUCAUAGGUUGGGCCAUUCACCUGAAGACACGGUGGUAGCCCAGGUGCUAUAUCGUCUGAGUCUUGCUGAAGGUAUUCGUAGUGGAAGGCAAACCAGCAGGGCUUAUAGUCUUGAGAGUGCAAAAAUGAAGGCUUUGCUGCUAGAACAGGAUGGAAAUGCAGAUUUGGAUUUUUCCUGUAACAUUCUAGUCCUUGGAAAGAGCGGAGUGGGCAAGAGUGCAACUAUAAAUUCUAUAUUUGGUGAAGAGAAGUCUCCAACCAAUGCAUUCAAACAAGAAACAACUUCUGUCAAAGAGAUUGUAGGAACCGUUGAGGGGGUUAAGAUUCGGGUUUUAGAUACUCCAGGUCUUAGAGCUUCAGGAAUGGACCAAGCAUCAAGUAGGAGAAUCUUGGCAUCUAUAAAGAAAUACACGAAGAGAUGCCCUCCAGACAUUGUUUUGUAUGUGGACCGAAUGGACACACUGACCCGAGAUCAGAAUGAUUUGCCUCUGCUAAGAACAAUUACAAGCACUUUGGGUUCAUCCAUAUGGUUCAACGCCAUUGUUGCUCUCACACAUGCUGCAUCUGCUCCUCCGGAUGGACCAAGUGGUUCCCCUUUGAGCUAUGAGGUGUUUGUGGCUCAAAGGUCUCAUGCUGUUCAGCAGUCCAUAAGGCUAGCAGCUGGAGACAUGCGUCUGAUGAAUCCAGUGGCUCUUGUUGAGAACCAUCCAUCUUGUAGAAGGAACAGAGAGGGACAAAAAGUGCUCCCUAAUGGUCUAUCAUGGAGGCCACAGAUGCUGCUGCUCUGUUACUCUUCAAAGAUAUUAUCUGAAGCUAAUUCACUUCUAAAGCUUCAAGAUCCAUCUCCUGGAAAACUGUUUGGUCUCCGUUUACGUCCCCCACCGCUUCCCUUCCUGCUUUCUUCUCUGUUGCAGUCCAGAGCACACCCAAAACUUCCAUCCGAUCAACAUGGUGACAAUGAAGAUUCUGAUAUUGACCUAGAUGACUUAUCAGAUGCUGAUCAAGGGGAACAAGAAGAUGAGUAUGAUCAGCUUCCACCAUUUAAGCCCCUGAGGAAGUCUCAAAUUGCCAAGCUGACCAAGGAGCAAAGAAGAGCAUAUUUUGAUGAGUAUGAUUACCGAGUUAAGCUUCUUCAAAAAAAACAGUGGAAGGAGGAGCUCAGACGAUUGAAAGAGAUGAAGAAUAGACAGAAAGGGUUUGAGGAUGAUUUUGGGCAUGCUGAUAUGGUUGAAGAUUUUGAUCAGGAUAAUUCCCCUGCAACCAUACCUGUCCCUUUGCCUGAUAUGGUAUUGCCACCUUCUUUUGACUGUGAUACCCCAACGUAUCGAUACCGUUUUCUAGAGCCAACCUCACAGUUUCUUGCUAGGCCAGUACUGGAUACGCAUGGUUGGGAUCAUGAUUGUGGUUAUGAUGGGGUAAGCCUUGAAGAGAGCCUCGCUGUUGCUGGCCGAUUUCCUGCUGUCUUAUCAGCUCAAGUGACUAAGGACAAAAAGGAAUUCAGCAUCCAUUUAGAUUCCUCCGUCUCGGCCAAGCAUGGGGAAAAUGGUUCUACUCUCGCUGGCUUUGAUAUCCAGGCUGUUGGAAAGCAACUUGCUUACAUUCUGCGGGGUGAGACCAAGUCCAAGAUAUUGAAAAAGAACAGGACUACUGGAGGGAUCUCCGUAACUUUCUUGGGGGAAACCAUAGCUACUGGAUUAAAGUUUGAAGACCAACUUUCUAUUGGGAAGCAAGUGAAUCUUGUUGCAAGCACUGGUGCUGUUCGAGCACAAGGUUAUACUGCAUAUGGAGCCAAUUUGGAGGUGCGACUCCGAGAUAAGGAUUAUCCCAUAAGCCAAGCCCUUGCCACCUUGGGGUUAUCUUUGAUGAGUUGGCAUGGUGAUUUGGCUUUGGGUGCAAACCUGCAGUCUCAAUUCUCCAUUGGGAGGAAUUCAAAGAUGGCAGUUCGCGUUGGGCUGAACAACAAGCGGACUGGGCAGAUCACUGUCAGGACGAGCACCUCUGAACAACUUCAACUUGCACUCGUGGGUAUCAUACCCAUUGCAAUCUCUAUCUUCCGGAGCAUGAAGCCCGCAGGUCAGUUUGUUUCCGAGACGUGAAGCCUAAACCAACCUUUUUUGCUUAGUUCAGUUUUUCGUGUAGCUCGCGAACAGCAACGGUGUGUUGGUUGGUUAAAAAACGGACUGUUUUGUGUUGGAGGCUUAUGAUUGAUUGUAUGUCAGUCUGGGCUAGCUGUGGAGUUGAAUUCCUGGGUCUCUGUUAUCAUCUAACCGGUGGAGCUUGGUACUUUUUUUUUUUUUUCUAAGAGGAAAACUCUCUACUUUUCAAGUUCUUAUUUCGGCAGUGUCUUUUCUCUUUUCCGAAUAAGUGCUGGACAUUUUAGAUUUAUAUCCGAAAAGAGUUGUUUAGUCAUUCUGGUAUUUGUAUCUGUUUUGGCCCAUGUUUUGACAUAUUCGGAUAAUGCACAACACCCAUUUUGAUGAACAA